RNAcentral lists this ribosomal RNA (462 nucleotides) under uncultured bacterium. Its description in RNAcentral is "bacterial SSU rRNA". It matches the Rfam family "Bacterial small subunit ribosomal RNA", at positions 23 to 496 of the family's 1533-position model. The record is from RNAcentral.
CUCAGAUUGAACGCUGGCGGCGUGCCUAACACAUGCAAGUCGAACGAGAACGGAUAUUAGCUUGCUAAUAUUGUCAGCUAAGUGGCGCACGGGUGAGUAAUAUAUAGUUAAUCUGCCCCAAAGAAGAGAGUAAUUGUUGGAAACGACUUGUAAUGCUCUAUAUGCCUUUAUUACAUAAGUAAGCAAGGGAAAUAUUUAUAGCUUUGGGAUGAGACUGUACGGUAUCAGCUUGUUGGUAAGGUAAUGGCUUACCAAGGCUAUGACGCCUAACUGGUUUGAGAGGAUGAUCAGUCACACUGGAACUGAGACACGGUUCCAGACUCCUACGGGAGGCAGCAGUGGGGAAUAUUGCACAAUGGAGGAAACGUCUGAUGCAGCAACGCCGCGUGAGGAUGACACAUUUCGGUGCGUAAACUCCUUUAUAUGAGAAGAUAAUGACGGUAUCAUAUGAAUAAGCACCGG